UUCCUUCUUCUCAGCCCCGGUUGAUGACAAGUCCACUGUGACUCUCCCUUCCCUGAACCCAUAAAGUCAGCAUCUCAUCACAAAAGACUGAGCUGCUUGUUAAGGGUCUCAAGUGCCUUUGCUUGGUCUGCCAAACAGACUGUAAGGUACCAGAAGAUAGGCUUGGGUUUCCUAUUCCUGUGGUUUUCUCCCAAACUGCCUGCACUACCCAGGGUGAUCUGCUGGACAAAUUGGCACAAGCCCAGUGAAUGGAGUCCCUGGAGGGCCACAGUCAGAGAAGAAUCUAGCCUGGUGUGGCUGUGUGAGUCACACGGCAGUGUGGGGAGCCUGAGGUUUGGGCCACUAGGGGAGAGAUCGCCAGCCGUCCCAUACCCAAAGCUUGUGUCUCAUCCGUCCUUUGAAAUUGAGGCAGACAAAUGGUGACAAGGACAAAUCUUGGAAGGUGAGCAUGUGCCUGAUGCCAGCCAUUCCCCUGGAGACUCCCCUAUGCCCACCAGACACCCAGAGACCUACAUAAUCUCAACCUCUAUAACUAUCACUCAUUUUCAGACCAGCUGCACCCUAAAGCCUUCUAUUUUACUUUCCUGAAGCUCUUGGUGUUGUUGGGGCACUAUUACCCUGCAUGAGGGAGGUAGACUCAUCCAAGCCAUGUGUAAAUGCUGAUUCUAGGAAGUCAGGACCCCAAGCUGGAAGCCCAAAUCCACCAAGUAUUAGCCUUGAACAAAUAUCAGUGCUCUUCAUCUGUAAAAUAGAGGAGUUAGAAGCAAACAGGUGUCUUGAAAAGAUGGAGCCAGAAGAUCGGGGAAUAGCUGUGGCUCUGCUGCUAUUAGUCACGUGACUGGGCAAGUAAUUCAAGGUCUGUAAGCCUCCAUUCCCACAUCUGUAAAAUGGGUAUAUAAUGCCCUCCCAGGGUCUGCCUCAGUGAAUUAAAGGGAUAAAUAAAAUUCUUAGACACUUUAUAAAGAAUUAUAAA
RNAcentral lists this long non-coding RNA (973 nucleotides) under Vulpes vulpes (red fox). RNAcentral's name for it is "lncRNA (ENSVVUG00000007564.1)". Lineage: Eukaryota; Metazoa; Chordata; Mammalia; Carnivora; Canidae. The record is from RNAcentral.